CGCGUAGGCAACCUACCUUUAACUGGGAGAUAGCCCGGGGAAACCCGGAUUAAUACCCCAUAGCACAGUGAGACCACAUGGUUUUAUUGUUAAAGAUCAUCGGUUAAAGAUGGGCCUGCGUCAGAUUAGCUAGUUGGUGCGGUAACGGCGCACCAAGGCGACGAUCUGUAGGGGGUCGUGAGAGGAUGAUCCCCCACACUGGUACUGAGAUACGGACCAGACUCCUACGGGAGGCAGCAGUAGGGAAUAAUUGGGCCAAUGGGUGAGAGCCUGACCCAGCCAUGCCGCGUGCAGGAAGAC
RNAcentral lists this ribosomal RNA (300 nucleotides) under uncultured bacterium. Its description in RNAcentral is "bacterial SSU rRNA". It matches the Rfam family "Bacterial small subunit ribosomal RNA", at positions 114 to 412 of the family's 1533-position model. The record is from RNAcentral.